CUCAGGACGAACGCUGGCGGCGUGCUUAACACAUGCAAGUCGAGCGGUAAGGCCCUUCGGGGUACACGAGCGGCGAACGGGUGAGUAACACGUGAGCAACCUGCCCCUGACUCCGGGAUAAGCGGUGGAAACGCCGUCUAAUACCGGAUACGACCCGCCACCUCAUGGUGGAGGGUGGAAAGUUUUUCGGUCAGGGAUGGGCUCGCGGCCUAUCAGCUUGUUGGUGGGGUAACGGCCUACCAAGGCGAUUACGGGUAGCCGGCCUGAGAGGGCGACCGGCCACACUGGGACUGAGACACGGCCCAGACACCUGCGGGAGGCAGCAGUGGGGAAUAUUGCGCAAUGGGCGAAAGGCUGACGCAGCGACGCCGCGUGGGGGAUGACGGCCUUCGGGUUGUAAACCUCUUUUACCACCAACGCAGGCCCGGAGUUCUCUUCGGGUUGACGGUAGGUGGGGAAUAAGGACCGGCUAACUACGUGCCAGCAGCCGCGGUAAUACGUAGGGUCCGAGCGUUGUCCGGAAUUAUUGGGCGUAAAGAGCUCGUAGGCGGCCUGUCGCGUCUGCUGUGAAAGACCGGGGCUUAACUCCGGUUCUGCAGUGGAUACGGGCAUGCUAGAGGUAGGUAGGGGAGACUGGAAUUCCUGGUGUAGCGGUGAAAUGCGCAGAUAUCAGGAGGAACACCGGUGGCGAAGGCGGGUCUCUGGGCCUUACCUGACGCUGAGGAGCGAAAGCAUGGGGAGCGAACAGGAUUAGAUACCCUGGUAGUCCAUGCCGUAAACGUUGGGCGCUAGGUGAGGGGACUUUCCACGGUUUCCGCGCCGUAGCUAACGCAUUAAGCGCCCCGCCUGGNGAGUACGGCCGCAAGGCUAAAACUCAAAGGAAUUGACGGGGGCCCGCACAAGCGGCGGAGCAUG
This 915-nucleotide ribosomal RNA is filed under the name Nocardiopsis sp. ANmon4. RNAcentral describes it as "bacterial SSU rRNA". It matches the Rfam family "Bacterial small subunit ribosomal RNA", at positions 23 to 941 of the family's 1533-position model. The record is from RNAcentral. Lineage: Bacteria; Bacillati; Actinomycetota; Actinomycetes; Streptosporangiales; Nocardiopsidaceae.